Molecule: ribosomal RNA, 433 nt
Filed under: uncultured bacterium
Lineage: Bacteria
Description: partial 16S ribosomal RNA
Rfam family: Bacterial small subunit ribosomal RNA
Source: RNAcentral
AACGAACGCUGGCGGCAUGCCUAACACAUGCCAGUCGAACGAGACCUUCGGGUCUAGUGGCGCACGGGUGCGUAACGCGUGGGAACCUGCCCUUAGGUUCGGAAUAACUCCCCGAAAGGGGUGCUAAUACCGGAUAAUGUCUUCGGACCAACGAUUUAUCGCCUUUGGAUGGGCCCGCGUUGGAUUAGCUAGUUGGUAGGGUAAAAGCCUACCAAGGCGACGAUCCAUAGCUGGUCUGAGAGGAUGAUCAGCCACACUGGGACUGAGACACGGCCCAGACUCCUACGGGAGGCAGCAGUGGGGAAUAUUGGACAAUGGGCGAAAGCCUGAUCCAGCAAUGCCGCGUGAGUGAUGAAGGCCUUAGGGUUGUAAAGCUCUUUUACCCGGGAUGAUAAUGACAGUACCGGGAGAAUAAGCUCCGGCUAACUCCGUG